GACGAGUUUGAUCAUGGCUCAGAAUCAACGCUGGCGGCGUGCCUCAGACAUGCAAGUCGAACGAUUAAAGCUCUCUUCGGAGAGUGCAUAGAGUGGCGCACGGGUGAGUAACACGUAAGUAAUCUACCUUCGAGUGGGGAAUAACGUCCGGAAACGGGCGCUAAUACCGCAUAAUGCAGCGGCAUCGCAAGAUGACAGUUGUUAAAGGAGCAAUCCGCUUGAAGAGGAGCUUGCGGCAGAUUAGCUAGUUGGUAGGGUAAUGGCCUACCAAGGCUACGAUCUGUAACCGGUCUUAGAGGACGGUCGGUCACACUGACACUGAAUAACGGGUCAGACUCCUACGGGAGGCAGCAGUCGGGAAUUUUGGGCAAUGGGCGAAAGCCUGACCCAGCAACGCCGCGUGAAGGAUGAAGUAUUUCGGUAUGUAAACUUCGAAAGAAUAGGAAGAAUUAAUGACGGUACUAUUUAUAAGGUCCGGCUAACUACGUG
Molecule: ribosomal RNA, 489 nt
Filed under: uncultured bacterium
Lineage: Bacteria
Description: bacterial SSU rRNA
Rfam family: Bacterial small subunit ribosomal RNA
Source: RNAcentral